RNAcentral lists this ribosomal RNA (1364 nucleotides) under metagenome. Its description in RNAcentral is "bacterial SSU rRNA". It matches the Rfam family "Bacterial small subunit ribosomal RNA". The record is from RNAcentral.
GGGGGGGGAGCGGCGAACGGGUGAGUAACACGUUGGAACCUACCUCGGACUCAGGGAUAUCAUCGAGAAAUCGGUGUUAAUACCGGAUAGUCCCGCAAGGGUAAAGCUUUUGCGGUCCGAGAGGGGCCUGCGUAGUAUCAGCUUGUUGGUAGUGUAAUAGACUACCAAGGCUACGACGCUUAACUGGUCUGAGAGGAUGAUCAGUCACAAUGGAACUGAGACACGGUCCAUACUCCUACGGGGGGCAGCAGUGAGGAAUCUUCCGCAAUGGGCGAAAGCCUAACGGAGCGACACCGCGUGAAGGAUGAAGGCCUUUUGGUUGUAAACUUCUUUUCUGGGGAAUAAAUGAUGAAGGUACCCCAGGAAUAAGCACCGGCUAACUACGUGCCAGCAGCCGCGGUAAUACGUAGGGUGCAAGCGUUAUCCGGAAUUAUUGGGCGUAAAGCGUGCGCAGGCGGCGCAGCAAGUUUGAAAUUAUAUCUGGUGGCUCAACCAUCAACUCGUUUCAAAAAUUGCUGUGCUAGAGAACGAUAGAGGCAACUAGAAUUCUGCAUGUAGGGGUAAAAUCCGUUGAUAUGCAGAGGAAUACCAAAAGCGAAGGCAGGUUGCUGGGUCGUUUCUGACGCUGUUGCACGAAAGCGUGGGUAGCAAACAGGAUUAGAUACCCUGGUAGUCCACGCCGUAAACGAUGGAUACUCGGUUUAGAUGGGACUCGACCCCCUUCUGAGCCUAAGCUAACGCGUUAAGUAUCCCGCCUGGGGAGUACGGUCGCAAGAUUAAAACUCAAAGGAAUAGACGGGGACCCACACAAGCGGUGGAGCAUGUGGUUUAAUUCGACGAUAAGCGGGGAACCUUACCAGGACUUGACAUCUCCGGAAUCAUUUGGAAACAAGUGAGUGCCGUAAGGAACCGGAUGACAGGUGCUGCAUGGUCGUCGUCAGCUCGUGCCUUGAGGUGUUCGGUUAAGUCCGUAAACGAGCGCAACCCAUGUCCUGUGUUGUAUUUCUCACAGGAGACUGCCGGCUCUAAGUCGGAGGAAGGUAUGGAUGACGUCAGAUCAGCAUGGCCCUUAUGUCCUGGGCCACACACGUGCUACAAUGGCUGGUACAAUGGGCAGCAAACCCGUAAGGGGGAGCCAAUCUCAUCAAAACCAGUCUCAGUUCGGAUUGAGGGCUGCAAUUCGCCCUCAUGAAGUUGGAAUCGCUAGUAAACGCGAAUCAGACAUGUCGCGUUGAAUAUGUUCCUGGGUCUUGUACUCACCGCCCGUCAUAUCAUGAAAGGUGGGGGUACCCGAAGUCGCCUUAGUCCUUCGGGACGGGUGCCUAAGGUAAACUCACUGAUUGGGAUAAAGUCGGAACAAGGUA